UGGGGAAUAUUGCACAAUGGAGGGAACUCUGAUGCAGCGACGCCGCGUGAACGAAGAAGGCUUUCGAGUCGUAAAGUUCUUUUAUAUGGGAAGAUAAUGACGGUACCAUAAGAAAAAGCCCCGGCUAACUACGUGCCAGCAGCCGCGGUAAUACGUAGGGGGCUAGCGUUGUCCGGAAUCACUGGGCGUAAAGGGUUCGCAGGCGGAAAUGCAAGUCAGGUGUAAAAGGCAGUAGCUUAACUACUGUAAGCAUUUGAAACUGCAUAUCUUGAGAAGAGUAGAGGUAAGUGGAAUUUUUAGUGUAGCGGUGAAAUGCGUAGAUAUUAAAAAGAAUACCUGUGGCGAAGGCGACUUACUGGGCUCAUUCUGACGCUGAGGAACGAAAGCGUGGGUAGCAAACAGG
RNAcentral lists this ribosomal RNA (403 nucleotides) under bacterium. RNAcentral describes it as "partial 16S ribosomal RNA". It matches the Rfam family "Bacterial small subunit ribosomal RNA", at positions 355 to 776 of the family's 1533-position model. RNAcentral also lists the same sequence under 1 other name. The record is from RNAcentral.